This is a non-coding RNA of Salmo salar (Atlantic salmon), 54 nucleotides long. NCBI's taxonomy places the organism in Eukaryota, Metazoa, Chordata, Actinopteri, Salmoniformes, Salmonidae. The record is from Rfam.
CAUGAAUUAAUCUGUAUGUCGCUUUGGAUAAAAGCAUCUGCUAAAUGGCAUAUU